AAAGACGGUCUUGCUGUCACUUAUAGAUGGAUCCGCGCUGCAUUAGCUAGUUGGUAAGGUAACGGCUUACCAAGGCAACGAUGCAUAGCCGACCUGAGAGGGUGAUCGGCCACACUGGAACUGAGACACGGUCCAGACUCCUACGGGAGGCAGCAGUAGGGAAUCUUCCGCAAUGGGCGAAAGCCUGACGGAGCAACGCCGCGUGAGUGAUGAAGGUCUUCGGAUCGUAAAACUCUGUUAUUAGGGAAGAACAUAUGUGUAAGUAACUGUGCACAUCUUGACGGUACCUAAUCAGAAAGCCACGGCUAACUACGUGCCAGCAGCCGCGGUAAUACGUAGGUGGCAAGCGUUAUCCGGAAUUAUUGGGCGUAAAGCGCGCGUAGGCGGUUUUUUAAG
This 396-nucleotide ribosomal RNA is filed under the name Staphylococcus aureus. RNAcentral describes it as "bacterial SSU rRNA". It matches the Rfam family "Bacterial small subunit ribosomal RNA", at positions 202 to 587 of the family's 1533-position model. Lineage: Bacteria; Bacillati; Bacillota; Bacilli; Caryophanales; Staphylococcaceae. The record is from RNAcentral.